Molecule: long non-coding RNA, 366 nt
Filed under: Trifolium pratense (red clover)
Lineage: Eukaryota; Viridiplantae; Streptophyta; Magnoliopsida; Fabales; Fabaceae
Description: long non-coding RNA (TPRA_LNC008002)
Source: RNAcentral
GGUUGUGUUUUUCUUCUUCUUCUUCAGCUUCUUGUUCCUCUUCAGGAACUAAGUCAGCAAGAUACUCUAUAUAGUCUUCAUCCAUAUCAUCUUCAUCUCCCUCAGACUCUGAGUCUGAAGAGAUGUCAAUGAUCUCCGUUUCUUGUGGUGGUUUUUCUUCUUUUUCGUCCUUCUGAUCUUCUUUCUCGUGUUUUUCUUCUUUCUUAUUUGCUAAACGCGCACUGAAUCUUCUCAUUCUUGAUUCUUGUUGUUGAUAAAAUGUUUUGUUGUGAAGAAAUCGUGGUUUUCGUAUUCCUUUUAUAGCGUGUUUUGUGCUUUGAUUUUUGUCUUUUGACAUUAAUUCACCUUUGUAACUGUCAAUUCUUU